RNAcentral lists this small RNA (248 nucleotides) under Arabidopsis thaliana (thale cress). Its description in RNAcentral is "ATSL219610". Lineage: Eukaryota; Viridiplantae; Streptophyta; Magnoliopsida; Brassicales; Brassicaceae. The record is from RNAcentral.
GCUCGUACGUAGUCCAAGAUGGUUAUGUUGUUUUCUCUUUUGUACGAUAUACUAGAUUUUAAUCCGCGGUAUAUCGUGGGACGAUAUAUUUUUUAAAAGUAAUAUAUAUUAAAUUUGCAAAUUUUAUUUUUAUAAAAUAUUUAUAUUUUACAGUUUAUAAUUGUUAUUAAGUAACGGUAUACCACGAAUCCAUGAGAUAAUUGUUAAAAAACUGAAGUUUUAACCCCUAUUAAAACAACAUAUUAAUA